CCUACGGGAGGCAGCAGUGGGGAAUUUUCCGCAAUGGGCGAAAGCCUGACGGAGCAACGCCGCGUGAGGGAUGAAGACCUCUGGGCUGUAAACCUCUUUUAUCAAGGAAGAAGAUCUGACGGUACUUGAUGAAUAAGCCACGGCUAAUUCCGUGCCAGCAGCCGCGGUAAUAC
This 173-nucleotide ribosomal RNA is filed under the name uncultured beta proteobacterium. RNAcentral describes it as "16S ribosomal RNA". It matches the Rfam family "Bacterial small subunit ribosomal RNA", at positions 338 to 526 of the family's 1533-position model. The record is from RNAcentral. Lineage: Bacteria; Pseudomonadati; Pseudomonadota; Betaproteobacteria.